Molecule: ribosomal RNA, 492 nt
Filed under: uncultured bacterium
Lineage: Bacteria
Description: partial 16S ribosomal RNA
Rfam family: Bacterial small subunit ribosomal RNA
Source: RNAcentral
AGUGAACGCUGGCGGUAGGCCUAACACAUGCAAGUCGAACGGCAGCACAGUAAGAGCUUGCUCUUACGGGUGGCGAGUGGCGGACGGGUGAGGAAUACAUCGGAAUCUACUUUUUCGUGGGGGAUAACGUAGGGAAACUUACGCUAAUACCGCAUACGACCUACGGGUGAAAGCAGGGGAUCUUCGGACCUUGCGCGAUUGAAUGAGCCGAUGUCGGAUUAGCUAGUUGGCGGGGUAAAGGACCACCAAGGCGACGAUCCGUAGCUGGUCUGAGAGGAUGAUCAGCCACACUGGAACUGAGACACGUUCCAGACUCCUACGGGAGGCAGCAGUGGGGAAUAUUGGACAAUGGGCGCAAGCCUGAUCCAGCCAUACCGCGUGGGUGAAGAAGGCCUUCGGGUUGUAAAGCCCUUUUGUUGGGAAAGAAAAGCAGCAGGUUAAUACCCCGCUGUUCUGACGGUACCCAAAGAAUAAGCACCGGCUAACUUCGUG